AUUGAACGCUGGCGGCAGGCCUAACACAUGCAAGUCGAGCGGAUGAAGGGAGCUUGCUCCUGGAUUCAGCGGCGGACGGGUGAGUAAUGCCUAGGAAUCUGCCUGGUAGUGGGGGAUAACGUCCGGAAACGGGCGCUAAUACCGCGUACGUCCUGAGGGGGAAAGUGGGGGAUCUUCGGACCUCACGCUAUCAGAUGAGCCUAGGUCGGAUUAGCUAGUUGGUGGGGUAAAGGCCUACCAAGGCGACGAUCCGUAACUGGUCUGAGAGGAUGAUCAGUCACACUGGAACUGAGACACGGUCCAGACUCCUACGGGAGGCAGCAGUGGGGAAUAUUGGACAAAGGGCGAAAGCCUGAUCCAGCCAUGCCGCGUGUGUGAAGAAGGUCUUCGGAUUGUAAAGCACUUUAAGUUGGGAGGAAGGGCAGUAAGUUAAUACCUUGCUGUUUUGACGUUACCAACAGAAUAAGCACCGGCUAACUUCGUG
Molecule: ribosomal RNA, 484 nt
Filed under: uncultured bacterium
Lineage: Bacteria
Description: partial 16S ribosomal RNA
Rfam family: Bacterial small subunit ribosomal RNA
Source: RNAcentral